This 460-nucleotide ribosomal RNA is filed under the name uncultured bacterium. RNAcentral's name for it is "partial 16S ribosomal RNA". It matches the Rfam family "Bacterial small subunit ribosomal RNA", at positions 338 to 795 of the family's 1533-position model. The record is from RNAcentral.
CCUACGGGAGGCAGCAGUGAGGAAUAUUGGUCAAUGGCCGGAAGGCUGAACCAGCCAUGCCGCGUGAAGGUCAGUGCCCUAUGGGCGUUAAACUUCUUUUGUGCGGGAGCAAUAAUGGUCACGUGUGGCCAGACGAGAGUACCGUACGAAUAAGCAUCAGCUAACUCCGUGCCAGCAGCCGCGGUAAUACGGGGGAUGCAAGCGUUAUCCGGAUUUAUUGGGUUUAAAGGGUGCGUAGGCUGUGAGGUAAGUCAGCGGUGAAAUGCCCCCGCUCAACGGGGUGAAGUGCCAUUGAUACUGCCUGGCUGGAAUGCGGAUGCGGUGGGAGGAAUGUGUGGUGUAGCGGUGAAAUGCAUAGAUAUCACACAGAACACCGAUUGCGAAGGCAUCUCACGAAUCCGCGAUUGACGCUGAUGCACGAAAGCGUGGGUAUCAAACAGGAUUAGAUACCCCUGUAGUC